CUUUUCUGCCGGGCCGCGGGAGAAGGAAGGCGCUUCGGGAACCGUCUGCCUAGCGGGCGGGGCGGCAGCGCCUGCGGGCCUGUCGCCGGGCUCUUUGAGGGGGUGGGGGGGAGUACCAGUCUGACAAGUACCAGUCCCUGCGGUGUUAGAUCCUCGUCUUUUUUUCCUGCCUGGAACCUGGCUCCGAGCCAGAGCGCGUGGGUCCGCCUCGGGCCUCUCCGCUCUGUGGGUCCCGCUCCCGAGGCCUCCAUCCCCGUGCCCUCCGUCCACAGCCGGGCACAGCGGAGCGGUCGGCGCAGCCUCAGCCGCAAGGUCAUGUCAGGAGGCCCCUUCCUCUCCGCCUCCCCAGUUGACGCAGCCUCGAGCUUUCCUCCGCGCCUUCUGCUCAGUCGCAUUUUAGCACAGUUUACCUACUAACAAUGAGUUCUCGACGCAGUGUAGCAUUGUCGGCAUUUGUUCCCGGAUCUUCCUUUGUGAAUAUGCUCUGGAGACGUGGCAUUGAAGUUGGAGAAGAAUCCGUACAGUAUAGGAGGCCCUGAGGCUGUAAAUGCCGGCUAUACCCUUAGAUGCUUCGGGUCACAGAGAUGUGUAUUUCCCGAUACAAUACAGAAGAAACCGGUCAAGAGCUGGGAGACUGGAAGAACUUUUGCCUCUUCAAAAGCAAAGGUACAACAGAGCCUAUGAGUUGAAGAUGAAAGAAGGUCGUUGUGAUAAAUGCUUUCCAAAAACUUGUCAUAGAGGAUGGCUGUGAAAAAACCACCAGGAGGACAGCUGUGCAUGUAACAAGCAUAUAAGUACCUGCAGAUGAAUGUUCAAGUCCUUAGCAGUGGUGUUUAAAAAUUCUUCGUUGCCUCAAAGGUGUGGCAUACAACAUUUUGGAAGGGAAAAUGAAGAAUUGGUCAAGAAGACAUGAAUUAAAGCAAAUGACAAAAAUUAAUAUUUUAUUUAACAUUGAUCAUCUCACAAUAAAUUAUGUAGAAAAAUAUAAGUUCAAAUGAUUUUAAUUGCUGGGCAAUAAAGUCUCUUUUCUUUAAAAUAGA
This is a long non-coding RNA of Delphinapterus leucas (beluga whale), 1040 nucleotides long. RefSeq lists it as uncharacterized. NCBI's taxonomy places the organism in Eukaryota, Metazoa, Chordata, Mammalia, Artiodactyla, Monodontidae. The record is from RefSeq and is a predicted model, not a curated record.